ACAAGGAUUGAGCUAAAAAGUCUUCUAUUAAAGACUGUUUUUGUCGGCUUACUUAACGUAGUAAUAUACUCAAGUCCAAAAAAAAAAAAAAAAAUUAAAAGAUUUACUUAAAGCGAGCAGAUUAAUUGCAGCAUCUGAUGGUAGUAGAUGUUUAUUCUCUGUUUACAUUUUUUUAAAGUUGACUUCAUGGGGAAUCUCUGGGGAAUGAGGAUAAUUUCCUGGAAUAAUUUUUUUUAAUCCAGGUAAUAUGCAUGUGGUAACAUCUACCCCUACAUCGGGUUCAAGGCCAGUCUUGUUCUAACCGUGCAACAUAGAGCCAGAGCCAAAGUAUACUAAGCAGCAAAGCAAGCACUCAAAAUCAUGGAUGACAGUAAGACCUGAAGCUGUUACAUAAACAAUUAGCACAAAUAAAGAGAAGUAAUCCAGCAAAUUCAACAGCAGUCAAAAUGUAGGGGCCAUAACAGUGAGCAGGAGAUGGGCCAGU
Lingula anatina is the source of this 484-nucleotide long non-coding RNA. The record is from RefSeq and is a predicted model, not a curated record. Lineage: Eukaryota; Metazoa; Brachiopoda; Lingulata; Lingulida; Lingulidae.